CACAAUAGUUAUUUAUGUUAGAUGAUAUAUUGUCCCAGCUGUUAGAGCUGACAUUGGGCGAGAGGCAGGGAACACCCUGGGCAGGUCACCAGGCUAUCAUACACACGUCAAUUAAGAGACACCAAUUAAACCUAAACUAAAUGUCUUUGGACUGUGGAUGGAAACAGAGAGAACGCUCAGAAGAGCCGCAAGCCGGAUUCGAACCAACAACCCUCUAGCUGUGAGGAUAACCACUAAGCACGACUACACCAUCGGAUAGGAAAACGUAAUACAUGUAUAUUACACAUAGUCAUACGUCAUCCUGUGCGCAGGCGUACUGUCAUAGUUUGCGUCUUGGAGCAAAUACCAGCCGUUGUGAGCUAGCUAACUUUAAUUUUACCAUUAAAUGUAGUAUUUUAGUUGCAUUUAGUGACAUUCGUGUGUAGAUGCGUCUGUUUGUUUAUUUGUCUGUCUGUCAGUUUAACUUACCGUUAGUUAAUGUUUGGUGGAACGUAACGUUAGUUACCUGGCUAACGUUAGCCUUAUUUGUUGCAUUGGCUAACUUUAAAUAAGAGUAUCAAUUUUCUAUUUUGUUGUUUCCUCAUCCUUAGUUUUGUGUUGUGUGUGUUUUUUUUUUUUUUACAAUGACAUUUGUGUGUACGGUGAACUGGUGCAAACCAACACAGUGGAUUUCAUGAAAUACCUUGGGCAACAACGGACUUUGGGCUGUCGACCAUCAGUGGUUGAACUUGGUUGAGCUGGAGGACAGACGACGACAGUGCGGCCACAUUUGUAUUUUAACCUUGGACUGUACUAAUGCAAUGGUAGUGGAGAUGGGAUAUCAGAGACGGCUGAAGUGGAGGAGGGACGCUGUCCCAGCCGCCAGCCUUGAUGAAUAGGUCACAUCGACUCACACCAAUUAACAUUUGGAAGCAGGAAGACACAUUGCAGCCAUGAUUUUUCUUCUACAACAUCCCCUCUGGCAGACCUCAAAGCUUCUGUUUCAUUAGGGAGAGAGAGAAAAGAGUGUCAGUAAAUCGAACCUAAACAGUGAUGUAAUUUAAAAAGAUUUGCGCAGGCUCUCUUAAUCGCUGGUUCACCACUUCUUGGCUUCCUGGCGAGACUGACUCUUUGUAGAAAUGGUAAGACUGUUUUUUUUUCUAUGAUUAUGAAUUCACAGCCUAUAAUCCUUCUAGAAUGGGUUGUACCUUUAUUACAAAUAGGCUUUACAGUCUCAUUUUUCACUGAUGUUCAGUGCUGACAUGUUUUAAGGAGAAUAUUCGUAGUCUGUGGGCCUUUGUUUCUGAUUGUAUUCGGCUCCAACAACCUUACAAUUUUCAAUCAGGUAGGGCAAAUUGUGUAGCUUUAGAGGCAAAACAAAAGGCUGAAAUGUCAAAAAUAAAUGAUACAUAUAUCUUGUGUUUUCUUACCAAAAGUAACACCUUUUUCUUUCUCCUCUGGGAAAGCUUGGGGGAAAGUCGCAUCAAAGGAUGAACUGAGUGAGACUGGAGGAACAAAGAGGAGAGUUAACUUAGAGAGGCAGAAAACCAGAAGUUUGUUUCAGAUUCAUCGGACAGAUAGCUUUGGCUUCUUUUGUGAAAAGAAAACUCAAUGUAAAAAUCAUUACAUUUUAGCCCCAGUAGUGAUAUUUGGUGUUCAAAUAACCUACAAAUGAAAUCUUUGCUUCCUCUGUGCAUCCAGGUAUUCAUUGUUCAGUGUUUAAAAAAAAGUUUGUAACCUUCAAGCAAAUGUUUAAUGUCCCCUUUCCAUUGACAUUUUAAACAACAAAUGAAAAAAACACAUUAAAUGAAUGCAAUAGCUCUUGAAAUUGACAUUUUUAGGACAUAAUGAAUGAAACGAUUACCACCAGUGGUUUGUUUCUUUCCCUGCUCACCUCUUGUUGUACAGCUCCAACAGAGUUGCGUGCUUUGGAGUAAUGAAACAGGAACUGGAAAUAAAAGGGGAGAAUCAGAAGAAAGGUGAACUCCUGCUGAAAAAAUUAUAUAGAUAUAUAUA
Molecule: long non-coding RNA, 1995 nt
Organism: Centropristis striata (black sea bass)
Lineage: Eukaryota; Metazoa; Chordata; Actinopteri; Perciformes; Serranidae
Exons: 3
Source: RefSeq, a predicted model, not a curated record